This 247-nucleotide ribosomal RNA is filed under the name uncultured bacterium. RNAcentral describes it as "partial 16S ribosomal RNA". It matches the Rfam family "Bacterial small subunit ribosomal RNA", at positions 523 to 769 of the family's 1533-position model. The record is from RNAcentral.
AUACGGAGGAUGCAAGCGUUAUCCGGAUUCAUUGGGUUUAAAGGGUGCGUAGGCGGGCUAUUAAGUCAGUGGUGAAAUCCUGCAGCUUAACUGCAGAACUGCCGUUGAUACUGAUAGUCUUGAGUUUGGUUAAGGUAGGCGGAAUGUGUAAUGUAGCGGUGAAAUGCUUAGAUAUUACACAGAACACCAAUUGCGUAGGCAGCUUACUGAGCCGACACUGACGCUGAGGCACGAAAGCGUGGGGAUC